AUCAUUUAUAUAAUCAAAAGAAGACAACCAGUUGCAAAGCCACGUUGUAUAGUAUAACUGUAUAAAGUAAAGAGAAAAGGAGAAGAAGAACAUUAUCACAACCAUCCAAAUCUUCAAGAUGCGAAAACAUUAGCCAAAAAAAGUCCCAUCUUAUAGCAUAAUUUACCAUCUCGAUUCUUCCUAUGAUCAAUUCCACAUCGCCAAGCGGGGAGAGGUUCUUCACGUCGAUAUUCUAGACAUUCAAUCUUAGUAGCUAAUGAUAGUCACAUAGCAUCGUGGAGCUACUCUUGGGUGUAACGCUAGGAAUAAAUGAUUGCUCACAGACUCGGUAACUAAGCACACGGUACAUCUACUCGGAAGUGACAGUCCUUUAUGUGACACUCAAGAUCUGCUCUCGCAAGUAACAAGGUUUGCAGAGGAAGUAACCUUUUUAGAUCAUCAUAUCCAUUUAUAACGACCUUAAGUAUAAGUAGAUGUAUGGGGUGGGGAUAUAGCGAAUUUUGUUUUCUGCGGGGAGCAUUUGCACAUCUUUCAUGGAGAAUGAAAUCACAUUCCAUUCACGAAUAGUAAUCACCUUCAUAUGUAGGACUUGCUUGAAAAAACAAGUGCAAAUGAGCUCUCAAGCAUGUUUGAUUUCCUAUACAUGAGAGUAAUUUUUAUUCAUGUAUGAAAUGUGCUUUCAUCCUCCAUAAAACAUGUGCAAAUGCUUUCCAUAGGAAACAACAUACGUUAUAUCCCCAUCCACUUACACUUAAGGUCGAUGUCAAUAGUAUGAUAAUAAAUGUUACUUUGACGGUAAAGCUUGUUUUCGCGAGAGCAGCGGUUUCAUCUAUUAGUGUUGCAUAGAUCAGAACGGAAGCUUUGUCAGAGAUCUCCCAAGGGUUUAUUUCGUUGAGUUUUGUUAUGUUUUCAGCAUUUUCAUUGUAUAAAAAUCUAGUUGUCGAACCGGCCGGGUCAAUGGUUCAUGAAAAUUUAUUUGAUUUCAUU
Molecule: long non-coding RNA, 987 nt
Organism: Camelina sativa (false flax)
Lineage: Eukaryota; Viridiplantae; Streptophyta; Magnoliopsida; Brassicales; Brassicaceae
Source: RefSeq, a predicted model, not a curated record